CAAUAUUAUAGCAGUUCUAUUUCGGAGGACGAAGAUAUUGAUAUGGAGGAAAACGUUGAAGAAAUGAGUCAAUUACCUGGGCUUUCAAAAGAACUGCGAAUAUUAUAACAGCUCCUGUAAUGAUUUAAUGUUAUUAAAAAAGUUAUUAAAUUACAGUAAUAAUAAACUAGGAGAAAUAGCUAUAAAAAAUGUAUAAACCAUUUAUGAUAUUUAAAUGAUGAGUGUGCUGUGUUUUUUUUAUUUGACGAUAGAUUUGACAUUAAUAUUAAACAGCGAAUGGCAAAAAAAAUAUUAUAAGGUUAUGAACAGAGCACGAAUGAAGAGGCAGAAGAAAAUAAAGAUUCAAGUAAAAAAUUAAUUAUAAAAUAUGAAGAUUUAUCAGAUUUUGUAGAUAAAGAUCUUCCUUUUUCGUUGCUUAGCAACAAUUCAUGGAAAUUAUUCGAGCGAUUUAAAUUAAAAUUCAAGUUUUUAUAUGAAGAUCCUACCACAUGGGAAAUAAAUAAUGAUUACAAUAACGCCAAAGAAAUAUUAUCCUCGACAAAAAUAGUAAACGACAGAAUUCAACGACAAAUUUGGGAUGAAAAUCAAAAGCAAUUUAUAUUACAAGUGGUUCAACAAUAUCGCCAGCUGUAUCCAAGUGUAGCCAAGAAAUUUUGAAUAAAAAAUAUUCAAA
Daktulosphaira vitifoliae (grape phylloxera) is the source of this 673-nucleotide long non-coding RNA. RefSeq lists it as uncharacterized. The record is from RefSeq and is a predicted model, not a curated record. NCBI's taxonomy places the organism in Eukaryota, Metazoa, Arthropoda, Insecta, Hemiptera, Phylloxeridae. The transcript has 3 exons.